GGAGGACUUGGUUUUAGAGAUAUUGAUCUCUUUAACCUCUCACUUUUAGCAAGGCAAGCAUGGCGCUUAAUUCAGUCACCCAACACCUUAAGUGCCAGAAUCCUACAAGCAAAGUAUUUUGCAACUACGUCUUUCCUUGAGGCAGAAUUGGGGGGCAAACCAUCUCAGAUAUGGAGAGCUAUCAUUGAGGGGAGAUGAGCACUUGAACAAGGCCUGAUACGGAGGAUUGGAACUGGAGAAGAAACCAACAUAUGCGAUCAUAAUUGGCUACCACGUUCGGGCCUAAUGAGACCUAUGGCGAGCUUGGUUGUUGACAAACCGCUACAUGUGACUGAGCUACUUGAUGCAACUGAGGCAAGGUGGAUAGAAGAGAAGGUGCGUACUGUUUUUCUGCCUGUGAACGCCAUCAUAAUACUAAAAAUACCACUCUGCACUACAAAAAUUGAUGAUUAUUGGGCUUGGGGAGAAGAUGAACGAGGAGUUUUUCAGUAA
Molecule: ribosomal RNA, 492 nt
Filed under: Triticum aestivum (bread wheat)
Lineage: Eukaryota; Viridiplantae; Streptophyta; Magnoliopsida; Poales; Poaceae
Description: partial small subunit ribosomal RNA
Source: RNAcentral